GUGCUCGCUUCGACAGCACGUAUACUAAAAUGGGAACGAUGCAGAGAAGAUUAGCACGGCCCCUUGUGCAAGGUUGACGUGAAAAUGUGUGAAGCUUCCAUAUUUGG
This is a small nuclear RNA of Panthera tigris altaica (Amur tiger), 107 nucleotides long. NCBI's taxonomy places the organism in Eukaryota, Metazoa, Chordata, Mammalia, Carnivora, Felidae. The record is from Ensembl.